UACGUAGGGGGCUAGCGUUGUCCGGAAUCAUUGGGCGUAAAGCGCGUGUAGGCGGUCCGGUAAGUCCGCUGUGAAAGUCGGGGGCUCAACCCUCGGAUGCCGGUGGAUACUGUCGGGCUUGAGUACGGAAGAGGCGAGUGGAAUUCCUGGUGUAGCGGUGAAAUGCGCAGAUAUCAGGAGGAACACCAAUUGCGAAGGCAGCUCGCUGGGACGUUACUGACGCUGAGGCACGAAAGCGUGGGGAGCAAACAGG
Molecule: ribosomal RNA, 253 nt
Filed under: uncultured bacterium
Lineage: Bacteria
Description: partial 16S ribosomal RNA
Rfam family: Bacterial small subunit ribosomal RNA
Source: RNAcentral